This 484-nucleotide ribosomal RNA is filed under the name uncultured bacterium. Its description in RNAcentral is "partial 16S ribosomal RNA". It matches the Rfam family "Bacterial small subunit ribosomal RNA", at positions 30 to 507 of the family's 1533-position model. The record is from RNAcentral.
AUUGAACGCUGGCGGCAGGCCUAACACAUGCAAGUCGAGCGGAUGAAGGGAGCUUGCUCCUGGAUUCAGCGGCGGACGGGUGAGUAAUGCCUAGGAAUCUGCCUGGUAGUGGGGGAUAACGUCCGGAAACGGGCGCUAAUACCGCAUACGUCCUGAGGGAGAAAGUGGGGGAUCUUCGGACCUCACGCUAUCAGAUGAGCCUAGGUCGGAUUAGCUAGUUGGUGGGGUAAAGGCCUACCAAGGCGACGACCCGUAACUGGUCUGAGAGGAUGAUCAGUCACACUGGAACUGAGACACGGUCCAGACUCCUACGGGAGGCAGCAGUGGGGAAUAUUGGACAAUGGGCGAAAGCCUGAUCCAGCCAUGCCGCGUGUGUGAGGAAGAUCUUCGGAUUGUAAAGCACUUUAAGUUGGGAGGAAGGGCAGUAAGUUAAUACCUUGCUGUUUUGACGUUACCAACAGAAUAAGCACCGGCUAACUUCGUG